RNAcentral lists this ribosomal RNA (534 nucleotides) under uncultured bacterium. RNAcentral describes it as "bacterial SSU rRNA". It matches the Rfam family "Bacterial small subunit ribosomal RNA", at positions 373 to 896 of the family's 1533-position model. The record is from RNAcentral.
GGGGGAAACCCUGACCGAGCGACGCCGCGUGGGUGAUGAAGUUUUUCGGAACGUAAAACCCUGUCAGGUGGGAUGAAAUACCAUUCGGUUAACACCCGAGUGGCUUGACAGUACCACCAGAGGAAGCUCCGGCCAACUCCGUGCCAGCAGCCGCGGUAACACGGGGGGAGCAAGCGUUGUUCGGAUUCAUUGGGCGUAAAGAGCUCGUAGGUGGCUCUGUAAGUCGGUGGUGAAAGCCCACGGCUCAACCGUGGAUACGCCUCCGAAACUGUGGAGCUUGAGGCUGGGAGAGGAAAUCGGAAUUCCUGGUGUAGCGGUGAAAUGCGUAGAUAUCAGGAGGAACACCGGUGGCGAAGGCGGCCCCCUGGGCUGGUACUGACGCUGAGGCGCGAAAGCGUGGGUAGCAAACGGGAUUAGAUACCCCGGUAGUCCACGCCGUAAACGAUGGGCACUUGGUGUCGCGGGUAUCGACCCCUGCGGUGCCGAAGCUAACGCAUUAAGUGCCCCGCCGUGGGGAGUACGGUCGCAAGGCUG